Molecule: ribosomal RNA, 450 nt
Filed under: endosymbiont of Alviniconcha sp.
Lineage: Bacteria
Description: bacterial SSU rRNA
Rfam family: Bacterial small subunit ribosomal RNA
Source: RNAcentral
GUUAAUCUGCCCUUCAGAGGGGGUAACUACUGGAAACGGUAGCUAAUACCCCAUACUCCUUUUACUGUAAAAGUAAUUGGGAAAUGUCUUUUCGCUGAAGGUGAGACUAUAUGGUAUCAGGUAGUUGGUAGGGUAAGAGCCUACCAAGCCUAUGACGCCUAGCUGGUCUGAGAGGUGAUCAGCCACACUGGAACUGAGACACGGUCCAGACUCCUACGGGAGGCAGCAGUGGGGAAUAUUGCACAAUGGGGGAAACCCUGAUGCAGCAACGCCGCGUGGAGGAUGACACAUUUCGGUGCGUAAACUCCUUUUAUAUGGGAAGAUAAUGACGGUACCAUAUGAAUAAGCACCGGCUAACUCCGUGCCAGCAGCCGCGGUAAUACGGAGGGUGCAAGCGUUACUCGGAAUCACUGGGCGUAAAGCGCGCGCAGGCGGCUAUUUAAGUUGGAU